UCCUGCGGCCUCCCGCCGACGCCGGAGCCUGGGACACAGGGUGACAAGUGUCCUUUCGGAGGGGGCAGACCUGCCGUGCGCUGGAAUCCGGGGCCUCCAGAGCCUGCCCAUCACCCACUCGGCCCAGCUGCCGAACAAAACCCGGUGGGGGCGAACGAAGCCAUCCCUUUCGCGCCAGACUUCCCAAACUGCUCCAGGGCGACUCGGUACAACGUCUUUUUUUUUCCCCCCUUUGGAAUUCCACUAGUUCCAAGGGUUGCUUGUUAACCCUAUCUCGGGACAGAUUUCUAACGACGAAACAUGUUUUUACAAUUCAGGACUAAAGCAAGAACAAGUAUAAAGUCUUUAGGUGACGUUUUCUUCUUGGCGCAUCCGUGAGGGACACCGGGCCAGAUGCCAGGAAUCUGCUCCGCUGUGUUCCUGCGGGAGUUUCUAACUUGACUAACUCGAUGAAACCGGGGUUUCUGUUACUGGGUAGCCCCCACCCCGCCCUGUGAACUUGGCAAACACACCCGAUGGAAGCCUCACUCCGCCCACGUGAGUCCUGGGGCAGGCGGGCCACACCAGGAGCUGCUGUCAUUUCUUGGUUCCAGCUCAUCGACUCAGCCUUUGGAGAAGACAUCUUGGUUUUAUUCCACCUCGGAGAAGUGAACUGUAGGCCUUCUUUUCUCUUCCUGAAUCUCUCACCAUCUUGCCGUGAGAAGGUAUCUGAUCUGAAUGUCAGCAUGGGAAGCACAGCCCUAAGUCAGAAAACAUUCAGGUACCCAGGCGGGCUGCCUGUUGCCCAUAGAUGGACUGUUCACACAGCUAUUAACGGCAGCAUUCCUGGGCCCAGGAGCUGGGCCAAUAAGCUUACUUGCUCAGGCUUUGUGACAAGAAAGUCUGAGUAGCCAGGAAGUGGGAUGUUUGCAGGGAAAAGUACUACAGUUCCUCUAGGUCAAAACCCAUCCACCUGGUAUAAAUCAAAUCUUUACAUCAAUAAUGUUUCUGUAGUUAACAACGGAGUCUACUUUUGUGUAUCCCCAACAACAGGAAUUAACUGUUUCAGGUUUACUUUGAAAAACAGAUGUUGCUACCUAUUAAAAUGGAAAGAUGUUCAUGUUAUAAUGUCAAGCAAACAAUCUGAUUACCUGUGUGACCCCCAUUUGUUAUAAUGUGUUUAUAUGCCUACCAAGAAAGUGUGAAGGUAACAUUUUUCUCUAGGUGGCUAGGUUUAGGUUUGUUUUGUUGUUUUUUGCUUGCCUGCAUUUUCUGUUUUCCUAUAUUAAACAUAUAUAACCUGGGUAUUCAAGGAUUGAAAGUUCAAAAUAAAAAGUUCAGUUCUUGAGGGAAAAAAGUAUAUUAUUAAUAUCCUAGACCUAACAGGAGAGCACUUGAAGCCAUGUGUAUAAAUCUAAGGCAAUGAAGGAAUGUAGUUAGAAAAGAAAGGAACAGAUUUAGACUGAUCAGCUGUGUUUGGAAUUUUGAAUAACCUGCUAACCCAAGCAUGCUACUUGGUUCCUUUUUUUUGCUCAUUAAUCUCAUGAGUUCAAAAUGGGAAUGUGAAAAAUUCAUUCACUGCAGUAUGAUAGUGUGAUGGAUACAGUCAGCAAACUGUAUUAAUAUGGGGGUUUAAAAUUCUCAAAUAUCAUCCAACACCCUACUGUGAUGCAAACACCACUUUCUGGUGAGGAAGGUGUUAACUGUAACCAACAAGCAAUAGUUUGUGGGAAAAUGUAUUUAAAGACUAAACUUCAGUCAUGAAUGUUUUAAAAGUGUACCUCUUCUAAAAUAAUGAAACUGGUCUAAGUAACUUUAUGAUAAUGUAAUUCAAUGUGAUUUAACAAAUAAUGGUACAUAAUUCAUUAAAUACCAAAUAAAAUAAAAACAAAUUUCAUUUAAAAAAUGAAAACCA
Odocoileus virginianus texanus is the source of this 1894-nucleotide non-coding RNA. The record is from RefSeq and is a predicted model, not a curated record. NCBI's taxonomy places the organism in Eukaryota, Metazoa, Chordata, Mammalia, Artiodactyla, Cervidae.